AAUCAAACAUUGACAGUGCCAUAGUAGCUAGUAUAGUAUUUUUUGCACAAGAUGCAUGGGGUAUUCACAAACAUCUUAUGGUAUAUAGAAUUUGUCGCAUUUGCUGUAAUAUUGAUCGUUUUUUUCUGCUUCAUUUUGUAUUUAGCCAAUUUGAAUUACAUUUCCUACAAUCUCCGAUACGACAUGAGGAAAAAGUACAUGGCUGAUGGCACUUGGUUGAUUCAGAAUUAAUGAAUGAUUUGGAUAGGAAAAAACAAAUAAUAUUUCUUCAUCAAUAUGCCAGGAAAAAGCCGAUACCACAAAUUCCAGAGCCUUACCAACGGCCAGUGUGUUACGACCUCGGCUGCAUUUGGUUUUGUCGAUUAAUGAGCUGUAUAGUCACUAUAGCUGUAUGUUACUAUUUUGCCUAUUCCUUAAUUACUAACACCAAACUCAAGUUCGGUAUGUUCGUGCCUUAAUAAUAUUAAAAUUUAGUUUUAUACCUAUAUAAUGAAAUCUUUUUAAACAUUCUGUAUUUUUGUGUUGCAUUUAAUAUAUUUAUGGUAUUUAUAUAUAUUAAUUUUAGA
Molecule: long non-coding RNA, 566 nt
Organism: Galleria mellonella (greater wax moth)
Lineage: Eukaryota; Metazoa; Arthropoda; Insecta; Lepidoptera; Pyralidae
Exons: 3
Source: RefSeq, a predicted model, not a curated record